This 301-nucleotide ribosomal RNA is filed under the name uncultured bacterium. Its description in RNAcentral is "partial 16S ribosomal RNA". It matches the Rfam family "Bacterial small subunit ribosomal RNA", at positions 509 to 807 of the family's 1533-position model. The record is from RNAcentral.
CAGCAGCCACGGGAAUACGUAGGGUGCGAGCGUUAAUCGGAAUUACUGGGCGUAAAGCGUGCGCAGGCGGUUGUGUAAGACAGGUGUGAAAUCCCCGGGCUUAACCUGGGAACUGCGCUUGUGACUGCACAGCUAGAGUAUGGCAGAGGGGGGUGGAAUUCCACGUGUAGCAGUGAAAUGCGUAGAGAUGUGGAGGAACACCGAUGGCGAAGGCAGCCCCCUGGGCCAAUACUGACGCUCAUGCACGAAAGCGUGGGGAGCAGACAGGAUUAGAUACCCCCGUAGUCCCUGUCUCUUAUAC